AAAAAGAAUCAAGAAUCCAGUCUUGAGGAGCAGUAGAAGUCGAGUUACACCAUUUACAAGUUAAGACUCUUGUGCAGGGAAAAGCAAGCUAAGGUAGUCCGAGGGAUGAGCUGUAGUGAAGUCAUGUCUCAACUGUCAUAGUGGAUGCAAGCUUGAACAUGAUCAUAUUUUGCAACUUACUUCUGCUUUAUGAACACUGUUUAACUUUAUUUUAUAA
This is a long non-coding RNA of Beta vulgaris subsp. vulgaris (sugar beet), 217 nucleotides long. RefSeq lists it as uncharacterized. The record is from RefSeq and is a predicted model, not a curated record. The transcript is spliced from 2 exons. Lineage: Eukaryota; Viridiplantae; Streptophyta; Magnoliopsida; Caryophyllales; Amaranthaceae.